Bufo gargarizans (Asiatic toad) is the source of this 481-nucleotide long non-coding RNA. RefSeq lists it as uncharacterized. Lineage: Eukaryota; Metazoa; Chordata; Amphibia; Anura; Bufonidae. The record is from RefSeq and is a predicted model, not a curated record. The transcript is spliced from 3 exons.
GGAGUCCCAUGGGAGAGGCACAGGGAGGCACAUUAAGGACUUUAUACUGGAGGUGUGGCUGACACCUCAGAUGUGCACUCCUGACCAACUCGUCUGCCCCAUAGGCUGAUUUUAAUUAGUUUUGUCCUGGACCCUUUCUGCUUCCUGUUUCAAUGAUGUGAGAAACAUAUAGCUAUCAAAAAUGCAAAUAUGAUAUAGUGUAAUAAUUAUUAUUGAAAACACAUAAAAAACAUACCACGAUCUGCAGGGGUGGUGUUGAGCUGCUCAAUGAAGACAUGGCUACAAUCAAUAAAUAAAAAAAUAAAAAAAUUACAAUUCACUCCAAAAUCUAAAUUGUUCCACAGUUUUGAAAACAUUUCUACAUAUCCUAUAUAUAAAAAAAAUGAUCAUCUAAUGGUUAUUAUUUAUAGUACAUGGGCCACAUGCACACGGUGAUGGACCAUGUGAUUGGAGCAUGUGAUCUGACGUCACCACAGGUCAU